CGGAUGAUACAUUUAAUAUGUACAGGUAGUCCGCAACCUAUGACUAUAAUUGGAACUAUAAUUUCUACUUCUGAGCAAGGAAACUGUUAAAGGCUGGUCAGAAGAUUGCAAAUGACGACCUCAGGAUACUGAACUGUUAUAAAAUACCUGCUGGCAGUUGCCAAUGUCCGAAUUUUGAUCAUGUGACUGUGGGUAUGCUGCAAUGGCUG
Molecule: long non-coding RNA, 209 nt
Organism: Pantherophis guttatus
Lineage: Eukaryota; Metazoa; Chordata; Lepidosauria; Squamata; Colubridae
Source: RefSeq, a predicted model, not a curated record